Molecule: ribosomal RNA, 232 nt
Filed under: uncultured bacterium
Lineage: Bacteria
Description: partial 16S ribosomal RNA
Rfam family: Bacterial small subunit ribosomal RNA
Source: RNAcentral
CGGACGGGUGAGUAAUGCUUGGGAAUCUAGCUUAUGGAGGGGGAUAACUACGGGAAACUGUAACUAAUACCGCGUAAUAUCGAAAGAUUAAAGUGUGGGACCUUCGGGCCACAUGCCAUAGGAUGAGCCCAAGUGGGAUUAGGUAGUUGGUGAGGUAAAGGCUCACCAAGCCGACGAUCUCUAGCUGGUCUGAGAGGAUGACCAGCCACACUGGGACUGAGACACGGCCCAG